UCAGGAUGGCCAGGUCGCCCCUAAAAUCCUCCGACCUGAGGAAGGCCCGCACGCCCUCCUGGGCUCCCUCAGUCCUAGCCGCCUCGACCUGAGCAGACAGCUCGGCGCUCCUCUUCUGCUCCCCAUGCAGCUGAGAGGUCAGGUCGGAAUUCUUCUUUAGCUCCAGUUCAAAAUUAGAGUGAGCCUGGGCGAGCUGCUUCCUCAGACCUUCAGCUUCUGCCACAGCUGCUUCGUUCUGGCUGAGCAGUUUCUCAUUGGCCGCCCUCGUCUCGCUCAUCAGGGGGAGGAGGCCCUCGUAGCGCUUGGCCAGCUCGGAACCAACCAAGUUCACUUGGGCCGCGCCUGUGUAAUAAUAGUCGAGGAGGUCAGACGCCUCCAUGGCCUUGACCAAGCUGUGGUCCCUUGGAAGGAUGGCCCCCUGAGCGAGCUCCCUGGCCACCUCUGGGAAUUGAGCUCGGUCGUUUAUGGAGAGUUUCCACUGAGGACAGAAGUGCAUUGGGUGUUGGUGCGUGAUCAGCCGCGUCUGUGGGUCGAAUAGCAGGGUAGAACUCUGGCGUUGCCACAGGUUAGGAGGAGCGUCAGCUCGGGCUUGCUCCUCGGCAGUAUUCACGCCGUAGUGACCGCCCUGACCAGGUUCAGGCGUGGACCUCUCUUCCUGAACUGGGGAGGAGGUCGUCUCCACUCUUGCCCUCUUGGCAGUUGUCUUCUUCUUCUUCUUCUUCCCAGCCUCGACAGCCUUGGCGGACUGAGCAGGAGUUGGCUGAGGCGUCGGAACUGGUGCCGAGCUGGUUGGAAUGGCUGAGGAGGGCUGGGUAGUAGCACCUGGAGUGCUGGCUCCUCCGAUGGUUAGAAGGGAAGAAAACCUCUUCACUGCAAAAAGCAGAAGACCAGAAGGUCAGUAGAUGCAUAAAACAAAGAGAGGAAAGAAAAGGAGGGCCAGGUCGUUUACAAGAGGUCAGCUCGUCUGGCGAGAGCGGCCUAUUCUCUGGCGAGGGAUCUGAGGGGUUAGCUCGGAUCAGCCCCGCCGCCCAGAGUUGGGCAUUGCUGAACUCUUUCACCUCCAGCUUCUCGUCUGAGCUGAGUAGGCGGCUGAGCUCGGCUACAGGGAGCGGAUCUGGAAGUGGAUCCGAAACCUGAGUCUCCGCCCUCCAGGUCAGAGGGGGAAAGCCCAGGCUCUUCACAAAAAAGAAGUAACGCUUCCAGUCUUUGAUGGAGGAAGGUACCCCCGUGAACAGCUCGCGGGUGGGGGUUUUUGCUCCACUUCUACGGGCGAAGUAGAACCACCCGGGCACCUUCCCGCUGACCUUCAUCUGGAAGAAGGCUUGGAACAGGUCGUGGGAAAAGGGAAUUUCUAGUGCUCGGCAGAGGAUGAAAAAGCCUAUAAUGGAGCGAACACCAUUGGGGAUGACCUGAGUUAUGCGGAUGCCCCAGAAGGUGAGGAUGAAGAAAAAGAAGUUGGGAAUAGGCAGGCGGAGACCAGCCAUCAGCUGGUCCCUAUAGAUCGCCACGAAGCCAGGAGGAGGUCGGCUGGCGACCUCCCCCGGUAGGGCAGCCCUAGGUUCAAACUGGGCUGGGAUUUCAUAUUUUUCGCCCAGCCCGUCAACUUCCUUCUGUCCCAGGGCAGGGGGGAUAGUGUCGACCUCUCCAAAGUCGCCACUAGGUCCUCCCGAGGUCCCCGCGGCCAUCUGAGCUGGAGCUGCCUGUUCCGCAGCCCCGACUAGAGGCUGGGCAGUUUGUUCGGCUGGGCUCAUUAUUUGGACAGGAGAUUGUAUGGGAGAAGGCGCGGUUACUGACCCAGAUGAAGUGGAAGGAGAAGAACUUGAAGGGUCGGGAGAGGGGCUAUCUAGGAGUAUGGGGCUAGCUGCUCUGUGCCUAGGGGCCGAACUGGUAACGUCAGAGCUAUCAGAACUAUAAGAAGACAUAAAAAGGAAAAGGAAACUUACUGAUGGAAGGAGAUCGGAUGAAAAGCUGAUUUAGGGAGGGCCGAACUAACUCUGGGCUCCUAAGGAAGAUCGACCCGACGUGUUCUGAAAGAAAAAAGUUUGAAGCAGCGAGCUAGGAGUGAAAGGAGCGAACUGAUAGAGCGAAGAAGGAGGAGUGAAAAUGACGCCCAAGGGGCCUAUUUAUAGGCGAUUCUCAGGGCGGGAAGACGAGAGGGCGCGCAUUUAUUUGAACUAUUUAUGGGGAACCGUUCCCAACCGCCAUAACUGGUCGACGCGACGGUUGAGGUGACAGACACGAACCGACGCGACGGUUGCUUGCACCACUCCUUGAAGGGGGCCCGCACCGAGCUGACGCGACGCUCUGAAAGUCGGCCUAGAUUCACGCGCCUGUUCGGUGACUCUAGACUAGAGGGGGGGCUAGUGUAGUGGAGCCCAUGAGCACAUCGGCCCGGUCCACAUACACGUCAGCUCGGCCCAAGAGUCCUGGCGUAAUGGGCUGGUCUAGGGGUCAGGUCCUCUCGCAGGACCAGACGAGCGCCGCCUCCCAGGCGGAUGGGCCCGAUGGGCUUCGGAGCCCUCGUCUACCAGAGCUGGGUAGUGGAGCCCUAGAGGCUUAUCCUCUCCAAUAAGGACUCCUUGUCCUACCAGGAAACUACCACCUGGUGUUCUAUAAAUACCACACCCGUAAGAAACACAAGGUACGCUACUCAUAGUGCAGACUCUACUCUUUUUACUUACAAACUAGUUCUGACUUGAUCGUCGGAGUUGCUACAGGGGACUCAGCCCCGCAGCUCGCUCACGUGCAGGUCGGACGCUCAACCAGCUCAGUUCGGAUCUUCACUUCGGCAGUCGCAUCAACGUGCAACUUUUAUUACCCUCCAUACAUAUUUCGCAGCUGUCUUUUUUUUUUUUUCCUCAAUCACGGAUGUAGGUCGAGUAUAAUUAAUCCAGUUUCAGCACUUUUUUUUUUUGUUUUUCCAUCUAUGUACGUACCUCAGUCAUUUAGCAAAAAGUCAUUACAGAUUCAACAAUGGACAUGAUGAAGCAACUAGGAGAGCGGCACAAAGCACGCAUAGCUUGCUCUCAGGAGGGCCAGAUUAUUUCUGUUUGUUCAAAUGAAAAAAAUAGUUGGGAUGGGAGUCUUGCUUCUGCAGGGAACAGAGUGACAUGAUCCAUGUGUUUUAAAAGAGGAUGGCGUUGGGCGGGGCAUUUAGUAGUAUUCGGCGUGUGGCGUCAGCCCCGUGAAUUUUUAUUUUUUUUUAAAAUAUAUAAAUAUGAUAUAUAUUAUAAAAAAAAAAAAAUCAUUUGAAGAUAUAAAUAGAAUUAGAUAAAAUGAAGACAAUUACACAGAUAAAGAAUUAUUAUCGUAUAACUCUAACUAAUAAUUUAAAAAAACAUACGUAUUAAUAUUAGUUGCACAAAAAAGCAAAAUAAUUAACAUUGUAAAAAGUUCAAUCUUAGAAACAAACUAGUCACACCUCACAAGUCACCGCAGUAUCAAGCGCUUAAAUUACAAGCACAUAAAUUCAAGUAGACACAAACUUCAAAGGUUAAUUGUUUCAAUAAACACACUUAACCAGCAUCAAAAAUAAAAUACCAAAUUAGCAACCAUAUUGCUUAUAGUAAUACAUAGCAAGGAGUAGCAUCAAUAAUUAGAAACAAACCGACAAAUAAAAUGAUACUAUUCAUCAAAGUGGAUAUCAUCUUCAUCUAGUGUAUAUACACUAGGUAAUUUUCUGCCAAUAAUUGAUGGUGGUUCCGAAAUUUUCAUCACAUCACAGGAUCCCAUCUACAGGUAACAAUUUCUUUUCCUUUACCUUUCUUGCGCAAUCAUAUGUUAUAUUUCAAAUAAAUUCAUGUCAAAUUCACUCAAUGUCUGAAUAUAACAGAAAGGUAUGUACUCGCGCCCAAACACCUGUGCGCGUACUUAAAUUUAAUGAAUGGAAUCGAUAUUGUGAAAAAAUUUUUGUGAUUGGAAUCAAUUAAUAUUGUGAAAAAAGAGAGAGAGAAGAAAUUAGCAUUAUUGGUGAUAAGUACUAGUUAUUGAUUUCCAUGUGAACUUCUUUCGUUAACUCCUAGUUAGAAAGUAGUUUAACUUACUAUGCCGCUUUGAAAUUAUAUGAUGAAUCAAUUCAUAAAAGCAAAAUAUAAAUGAUUAUUCCAAAAAAUAGAAUGAUGUAGAGUGAGUUGGACGAAGCAAGCAAGCACUUAAAUUUGCUAAAACAUUAGGAUAGGAGCGAAAGUGAAGACGUGACCAAAUUGAGCAGAUAACGGAAAAUAGUUGGCUGUUGGUUUUAGGGGCAAUGUGAGAAUAAAAUAAUCCAACUUAACCCUAAUACUUUUUUCCAACGCUUCUGGCAAAGAAUAUUAGUAUCUGAAACGAGUCAGUAAUGUUACCGCUGCUACUUAUGAUCCCAUCAUCUGUGAGCUUGGGGAUGCUGAACUUCAAGGCUAACAGCGAAGCUGAUUGCUGAUGCUGGCCAGAAGGCUACUGUCUUGAUUCCCAUUUUUCUUUGCAAUCUCUAGCGCCCAUCCCAUGGUCUCAUCAGCAAUAAUGCAUGUGAUAUUAUCACUAUCACAUUGAUUGAUUUAUGUUCGACUCCAGGUUCACAUCACCGGCAUGACCUGGUAAACUGAUAGUAAGUGUCAACUUGUUGCCCAGGUCAUUUCUGUCCUCCCAUGAUUCCAAUCCAUCAUGACCUGGCUUAAGUUUUAUCGACCUCUCCUCUUUGUCGUGAUGUCGCUUAUUUGUCUGAUUACGCUUGAGUUUGUUGUUACAUGAGGUAUUUGAUUUGCAAUACGGUGUUCUUUUGGUUGUAUCUACUGUUGUUUCCAUUCUUGUAGAAUUACUGGCGUCCUAAACCAACUCAGACAUCUGAGUUGGAGUUCUUCUUCUUCACUCCCAGUGAGAGGGAGCAAAUUCUGUUGAACGAUAUUUCAUGGAAGGGUCUUUGCUACCACCCAUGCUUAAGAUUGUCACCAAUUCGUGCAAGUGGUUCCCAAUGUUUACAAGUUGGCCGGCUCAGGCUGGUACAAUAUAUUUCCCAUUAUGUUAAUCCGGUGAGCUCAAAGGGUCUAGUUGUUACUUGUUAGCAUAAAUUUGGAAAUCGAAGCAAUAUAUGCUCGCAUUUGGGUUACAAAAUUUUAGUAAGAAUUCAAUAUGUUCCCUAACAAAAUGACACGGGUUUCUACUUUGAAACCAGUGUGGCAGGAAUGAUCUAAAGUAUCACUGUUAUCAUCUUUGAGCUCCUCAGACCAGCAAGAGAUCCAGCCCAUGCCGGCUGGCCGGGCCAGUCUGUCCAGCGGGGCGUGAGAACUGAAAUUGUUAAGCAUCACAUCCCUUAAUAUUUAAAUAUCCACAGGCAAAAUCGCGAAGUGUAAAGGGGUUGGUUUUGAGAAUUCAGUUGUUAAAUUUCUUCUCUGAUUACUUGACACUGAUCAACUAUCAUGCAAAAUUACAUGAUUGUAAGAAGAGAAGUGCGUGCGAAAAUCUUUUUAUGGUUUUGCUCAAGAGGAAGAUAAGUAAUUUUCCUUCUUUCCUGCUAUUUGUAUUAAAGGUAAUUAAAGUUCCUGAAUGGUGCAGAUUUGCUAUUAAGUUUCUAUCUGGAUCAGUCCCCUAACUACCUUAGGUUGUAAAUUUAAGGUGUCUACUGUCUAUAUUCCUUCUUCAAAGAAUCUAGCAGAAAUUGCGAAAGUCCUGUUUUAAGAUGGAUGGAAAGCAGAAUAAUUGACUUGAAAAUUCUUUCAUAUAGUAACUUGUUUAUCAUGAACCUGUUCUAUUUUCUUGAAGGGCCGGAACCUGUCCAUCUGAAUGUUGAUUGACGAUUGUAGUCUCUCUCUCUAUAAGAAGGAUUACUUUUCACAAAAACUUUGGUUCCUGAGGUAAUGAGAUACAGAAGGACAGAUCACCAUUACUCCCUAAAAAACGUAAAAAGACUGUUGCAACUAGUGUUGGCCACUAAGUAUUGUGACUCUUGCCCUAUUAGGCAAUCCAUCCAAUUAUUCUUGGUAUAAUUAUGAUAAUGAUUUGAGCCAGCAGUUUGCUAUCUUGUCCUAGAUGGACAUAUUUAUCCUAAAAUUUUCCAGUAAAACUGGUUUCACAAGUGGCUGUCAGGCCUCUUGAGAGCAGGAAUCAUUCCUUUCAUCCUUAACCCACUUGACAAAAUUGUUGAAAUUCUUUCCAGAGCGUCCGCUUUCUGCAGCAGUAUUAUUCAUCGCCUUUGCUUUUAAAUCCAGGGCCGCCCUUGCUUUGAAUCCUUGAUCAGUUAGAAGCAGCUCGACCUUAUUCUUUAUUUCUUCUCGUCCAACAAUUCCAUUUUCAUCUCGGUUGAGUCGUCCUCCAAGCUUCCAUGCAUCACAGAUGUAGCUCUGGUUAAGGAAUUGGUCUGCAAAGUAAGGCCAGCAAAGGAAUGGAAGACCAUUGCUAACGCCCUCAAUGGCAGAAUUCCAACCACAGUGGCUUAGGAAGCAAGCCACAGAAGGAUGACUCGAGACCUUUUGUCGAGGUGCCCAACCAACUAGCGGCCCUCUUCCCUGUAUUCUGUCUGUGCAAUGCCUGUCACAUUGUUUAUAUCUUGCCUUACAACCCAGAGGAACGGCAUAUUGGUGAGUUCAAGACCUAGUGCAUGUUUCUGUCGUAGUAAUCAAAUGACAUUUUGUUACUUGGACACUCAUAAUGCAAAACACAGGUGUUAUUGGUUCAUAUGUUUGGCGACAUUUGUCGUAACAAGAUUCUAAAUUUUAACUGCUUCGAGAAAAUACGUCUUCCAGUACUUUUUGCGAUUCGAUACACAGAGGAUUGUUGAAAUCAUCAAUCUUUGAGGGCAUUAUUCCGAAAACUAUAUUGUGACUUGGAUAUGUCAAGAGCUCUUCUGUGUUUUCAUCCAAUCAACAAAAUUGGUGAAAUUCUCGUGGGAGCUUCCUCCUUCUCCAAUGUUAUUCAUCAGUCUUUCCUUGAGAUGCAAAGCUCUCUCCUUGAACGUCAUUGUACCUAGCAGUUCAUCCACCUUGUUCUUUAUUUCGCCAUGUGCGAUUGCCCCACUUGCGUCUCGUUUGAAUCCUAGCCCAACCUUCCAAAUAUCACAUAUAUAGCUCUGGUUAAAGAACUGGUCAGCAAAGUAAGGCCAGCAUAACAUGGGAACUCCAUUGCUUACGCUUUCCACUGUGGAGUUCCAACCACAAUGACUCAAAAAGCAAGCAAUAGCAGGAUGACUCAGAACCUUUUGCUGCGGUGCCCAGCUCACUAUUUGACCUUGAGUUGCUGUUUUGGGUUGAAAUCCUUCUACAUAAGUUGCAUUGGUCCCAUCUUUCGUAUCUUGUCUCAGAACCCACAGGAAUGGCCUGUUAGUGAGUUCAAGGCCUAGAGCUAAUUCCUCGAACUGAGGUUUGCUAAAUGUUGCAAAGCUGCCAAAUGCGACAUAGAUCACUGAGCCAGGUGGUUGCUUAUCGAGCCAUUCCAGACAGGUUGAGUCCUCCAUCCAGAAGUUCCCUGCUGAAUUCCCCAGGCGGUUGCUUGCUAGGAGCGGGCCAAUGGGCUUAAUCUCUGGAGCCAAGUCGAAUGCUCCAGGCUCAAGGUCAUAAGUUGAGUUACAAACCAGCCAGUCCGCCAACUUCACAAGUCUGUUGUUUUGCACCAUGGCUCCAAAAAUGAUUUUCUGCAAAGCCAAGUUCGCUACGCGUGCCCAAACAAAGUCUGAUGUAUUCAUCAAAGGCAUGGUUGGUGCAAGCUGCAGCGUCUGCUUCUUUAUCGGAGUUCCUGAUACAAAAUAUAUCACCUUCAGGCUUUACUUAAUUGAACUAUUUAGUCUUCUGUCCAACUGAAUUCUUGUCUAAAAACUGAAGCUCGCUCCAAGUUGAGAACUAGAGAUGCAUGUGCAUGCAUCUAUAAAAUACAUGGAGCUAUAUUUUUAGCAUUUCUACAACACUGUGAUGGGCUAUUAAUUGUGAAUAAAUGAGGGUAGGAGCUAAGAAUUGUAAGCAUAUAUAUAUAUAUAUAUAUGAAAUUCUCACCAUCGUGGUCUAUUAUCCCAUCAUCAAUGAGGCAAGGAAUUCUAAAUCCCAAGACCAAGGAAGCAGCUGCUGCUGUCAAGAAGGCCGCUCGCCUGAUUCCCAUCUUCCCCGCAACUUCCAGGGCCCACCCAAGACCCUGAUCUGCAAUGACACAAGUAAUUGGCUCCUCCUCUGAUGCAUUGAUCUCUCUUAUCAACUCCUCAAGUUUCCCGGGCAUGACUCUGUAGAUGGCCUCGGCUAACUUCCCAGGGAUCUUCCUUUCCUCCGCUGAUUCCAGCCCAUCGGGGAUCGCAACCAAACGAAUACGAUCAUCCAAUAAACCUUUAUCUGCCAAUGCAUCGAGAACCCGCUCGUGAGUGACUUCAGUAUUGACGAAUGUGAUCAUGAAGCCAUGCUCGACUAAGCAUUGUGCAAGCUCCAUCAAGGGAAUUACGUGCCCUUGCACAGGAAAAGGAAUCACCAGGACGUGCGGGUUGGCCAUCCUGGGUGUCCGCCGAGCUGUGUGUUUUCAGCUUUCUGAUCGGUGGUUAGUAUUUUGACCUGGUAUCGAGUUUUCCAUCUUCGUGUCUAGCUGAUUUAUUGAGUCUUUCUCUCCUCCUGUCAUUUUUGACUCGUCACGUCACUGAAACUCAUAAUAAAGAUUCGAAUCACUACCAGAACAACAACCUUUUUUUUUUUAUUAUUAUUAUUACGUUGUACGCCUUUGGGUUUUUCUCCAUCAAUUAUUUGUCUUGUUUUUUUGGCUCGCUCGCGUUUGGUGUUUUGGCUUCUGGUGCUGCGUUGUUAGCUGGACUUUUUGGCUCGCUUUGUUUUUUGGUUUGUUUAUCUUGACGGCACUUGCUUUUAUUUUAGUAUUUUAUUUGGUCCCAGUGAUUUUUAAUUAUUGGCAGGCAUACUAGCUAGAGCAUUACAUUGGUCCGUACGCUCGCUACGGGCAUGCUCAACAACUCAAGAACGCUGGGCUUCUGACGCCAAAAAAAAAAAAGAAAGAAAGAGAAUGUUGGGCCUCGAGCUCUGGAAUUUUAUUCCCGAACUUGUUCGUCAUAUGAUGAUUUUAAGGUGCUAUCUACUUCAGCUUCGGGAACAAACCAGGAUUGCAAUUCUGCUGCUGAGAAACCCAAAAGCUCUUAAUAAGCCCAGUCCGCUGACAUCGGAGGCCCGAUACGUAGCUCUUUUACGUUGGUACAAAAAGGAAGAGCUAGCCCAAGAAGUAGAAAGGGAGUAUACAGUGAAGUCGGUUAGCCCACGAGACGGCGGCUUACUUCCUCUUUUCAGGCCACGAACACUCAUAUGGUGCUCCCGGUUUCUGUGGAGGCUGCAAAUACUGCAAAGUACAACAAAUCAGCAUUUUAUAAAAAGCUCCUCCUAAUCUCUGAAUCCGAACAGCAAGCAAUUUGCAUACAUUAUUGCUGUGGUGUGCGUAUCACGGGCAUUUGUGCAAGUACACUUAAUACUAGAAGGGCAUGAUGACCCGAAGCCCAAAAGGGAUACAGAGUUACAGUCGGCGAGAGGGAACCGACAAGGAACAUUAUUUGGAGCCGCAUCGUCGAAUUCAUCAUAUUAUCACAAUCUCAACAAUACUCGCACUCUCGGAGUUUGCUCGCAACCGCAUCAGUCACUCUAUAUUGAUAAAAAAAAAAAAAAAGAAAAAAGAAAAGUUGAGGCACAUCUAGACUAGGACCCGGUAAAUCCAAAAUCAACCACCACUAAAAUUAUGAAUAUUCUGAUAAAAUAAAAAAUCCACCAAAUUAUUAUUAAUUAAAAAACAGAAAAUUGGGGGAAGCCCACGAUACAAAAUUCAACAAUACAACCUCAGGUUUGGAAGGAUGGGGUCCCGCCCUUGCAAGCAAAGCCUGAUGAGAGAGAAAGGGCAUCUCACGUGCUGAUGAUGGAAUAACUGCAAAAGUGCCAAAGAAUGUUGGAAUGUUUCAAUACACAGACCCAACACACACGCACGCAAAAUCAAGACAGCAGCCCCUGUUGCUGGGCUGUCAGCAAAUCUCGGCUUCGGACCCUUUUUCUGGUUCGUUCGCCCAAUCAUCCGAUGUCAACCCCUCGCGCGUUGGACACACAUACAUACAUACGCAUUUCUUUUGCAUCCAUGGAUGUUAGUACGACGACAUCCUGCCGUAAAAACUAACUUUUUACGGGUACGAAGCGUACAGCUAGUGUGUGUGUCACUGCGUGUAACUGUUGUGCUCGGUUGCUUUAUACCGAAUGGGAUCACGACAUGAUACGCGAUAUCAAUGCGAAUUCUUGUCUUUUUAUGUCACAUCGCUUUCCCGCAAUCAUAUGGUUUAUGAUUUUCAGUCAGAUGCUGAAUCUUGUCUUUAGUGGAUAGACACAAUGGCCGUCCGUCCGUUGGUUGGUUGGUUGGUUAACGUUAAGGGUACAAUCUGGAUUUGAUGACGUGUCACUGCAGCAUUCAGCCAAAAAGAUCCUGAAAAGGAUAAACGAAAGGUAAUCUUGGUCCGAGGUUCUUCUCUCACCGAAUCGAAAUUGAAAAAUUCUGACCCUCCAUUGUCCAUAGGGAGGGCCACAGAAUCACUUUCUGAAACCUUCAGCAAAGAUUAAAAACAAUUAAAUGAAGGGUCUUUUUCACAAGCUCCCUAUUUUUCUUUACGCAAGCGACAGAGAGGUUACCCCAAGAAAAUUGCUUACGAGUUUUAGCCCAGGGUUUGACAAAAGAAAAAAAAAAAAAAAAAAUUUUAGCCUAGGGCACUCAGCCUUGCCCAAAAUUUUUGAUGCAUUGCUAUGAAUCCAAAAUCCUACUUAGGUUUUUAAUAUGGUCGAGAAAUAUAGGUGCCCAUCAAAGAUUAUUAAAAAAAAAAAAAAAGGUGUAAUAUUGCUUUUUCACCUGAUUUCUUGGUCUUCAAGAGGCCCGCACCUGCAUGCAAUCCUGAAAGGAAAGAAUGAGCACAACAAAGAGGCAGAGAAUGGGAGGCCAAGCAGAUCCAAAUCUACCAUUCUAUUACAUUUUAAUUCAGUUAUGCUGCAUCCUGAUGAUAUAUAUAUAUAUAUUUAACUGCACGUUGCCUCACCUAGUUGCUAUCGAGGGGAUGAUUCACUUGCUAUGUAUCGGGAAAUUCCCUCAAAAUUUCACAGCAGCAAACCCCUCUUGGUAGUAAAAAGAUCAGCCGGCAUCCUAGCUAGCAGGAAGAUUGUCCCUGAUUUUCUAUUCCAGCUCCCAGGCCACUAAUGCGUUCCAAGCAUAGGUAUUUUCUAUUCUUCCAACAUAGCCCAAGUAUUAUGGAGUUGCAGACUGCAAAUAAAGGGAUAAGUACUACAAAGACUUAUUAGUUUACAAGGAGAUGCAAUUAACCCCUUCUGGCACCACUUUAGGCAUUGGAUGUGCUACGACAUAUCUCUGAGGGGACGUUUUGUGUACACCAGGAUUUGCACCAGAGGAUGAUGUAUUAACUGAAACAAUAUGUCCCCUACUGUGGAACCUAGCAAAUCGGUUUAUGACAGAGAACCUCUCCAAUUCCUGGGAAUCCACUUUUAUGUCCACAAAUGACACAGUCUUGUCCAGUCUG
Molecule: long non-coding RNA, 11488 nt
Filed under: Coffea arabica (coffee)
Lineage: Eukaryota; Viridiplantae; Streptophyta; Magnoliopsida; Gentianales; Rubiaceae
Description: long non-coding RNA (CARA_LNC005166)
Source: RNAcentral